UACGUAGGGUGCAAGCGUUGUCCGGAAUUAUUGGGCGUAAAGAGCUCGUAGGCGGCCUGUUGCGUCCGCUGUGAAAUCCCGGGGCUUAACCCCGGGUCUGCAGUGGAUACGGGCAGGCUAGAGGCAGGCAGGGGAGAACGGAAUUCCCGGUGUAGCGGUGAAAUGCGCAGAUAUCGGGAGGAACACCGGUGGCGAAGGCGGUUCUCUGGGCCUGUUCUGACGCUGAGGAGCGAAAGCGUGGGGAGCGAACAGG
RNAcentral lists this ribosomal RNA (253 nucleotides) under uncultured bacterium. RNAcentral describes it as "partial 16S ribosomal RNA". It matches the Rfam family "Bacterial small subunit ribosomal RNA", at positions 524 to 776 of the family's 1533-position model. The record is from RNAcentral.